CCUACGGGUGGCAGCAGUGGGGAAUAUUGGACAAUGGUGGCAACCCUGAUCCAGCCAUGCCGCGUGUGUGAAGAAGGCCCUCGGGUUGUAAAGCACUUUCAGUGAGGAAGAACGCCUGGUGGUUAAUACCCAUCAGGAAAGACAUCACUCACAGAAGAAGCACCGGCUAACUCCGUGCCAGCAGCCGCGGUAAUACGGAGGGUGCGAGCGUUAAUCGGAAUUACUGGGCGUAAAGCGCGCGUAGGUGGCUUGAUAAGCCGGUUGUGAAAGCCCCGGGCUCAACCUGGGAACGGCAUCCGGAACUGUCAAGCUAGAGUGCCGGAGAGGAAGGUAGAAUUGCCGGUGUAGCGGUGAAAUGCGUAGAGAUCGGGAGGAAUACCAGUGGCGAAGGCGGCCUUCUGGACUGACACUGACACUGAGGUGCGAAAGCGUGGGUAGCAAACAGGAUUAGAUACCCUUGUAGUC
RNAcentral lists this ribosomal RNA (465 nucleotides) under Vreelandella stevensii. RNAcentral's name for it is "partial 16S ribosomal RNA". It matches the Rfam family "Bacterial small subunit ribosomal RNA", at positions 338 to 795 of the family's 1533-position model. Lineage: Bacteria; Pseudomonadati; Pseudomonadota; Gammaproteobacteria; Oceanospirillales; Halomonadaceae. The record is from RNAcentral.